Molecule: ribosomal RNA, 376 nt
Filed under: uncultured organism
Description: partial 16S ribosomal RNA
Rfam family: Bacterial small subunit ribosomal RNA
Source: RNAcentral
GUAGGUGGCAAGCGUUGUCCGGAAUUAUUGGGCGUAAAGCGCGCGCAGGCGGUUCUUUAAGUCUGAUGUGAAAGCCCACGGCUCAACCGUGGAGGGUCAUUGGAAACUGGAGAACUUGAGUACAGAGGAGGAAAGCGGAAUUCCACGUGUAGCGGUGAAAUGCGUAGAGAUGUGGAGGAACACCAGUGGCGAAGGCGGCUUUCUGGUCUGUAACUGACGCUGAGGCGCGAAAGCGUGGGGAGCAAACAGGGAUUAGAUACCCUGGUAGUCCACGCCGUAAACGAUGAGUGCUAAGUGUUAGGGGGGUUUUCCCGCCCCCUUAGUGCUGCGGCUAACGCAUUAAGCACUCCGCCUGGGGAGUACGGCCGCAAGGCUG